UGGUUCUGGCAUCGAUGAAGAACGCAGCGAAAUGCGAUAAGUAAUAUGAAUUGCAGAGUUAAGUGAAUCAUCGAAUCUUUGAACGCACAUUGCGCCCGCCAGUAUUCUGGCGGGCAUGCCUGUCUGAGCGUCAUUUCACCACUCGCGACCGGCUUCAGGGCUGGACGCGGCGUUGGGGAUCGGCUCCCUCUAGGGGGUGCCGUCCCCUAAAUUGAGUGGCGGUCUCGCUGUGACCUCCUCUGCGUAGUAGCAAUAUUCUCGCAGGCGGAGAGCGGCUUGGUCCUGCCAUAAAACCCCAACUAUACAAUGGUUGACCUCAGAUCAGGUAGGAAUACCCGCUGA
This 342-nucleotide unclassified non-coding RNA is filed under the name uncultured fungus. RNAcentral describes it as "partial contains 5.8S ribosomal RNA and internal transcribed spacer 2". The stretch from base 1 to 133 matches the Rfam family "5.8S ribosomal RNA", at positions 22 to 154 of the family's 154-position model. Lineage: Eukaryota; Fungi. The record is from RNAcentral.